UUUUGGGGAAACCGGCCAGAACCUUACCUACUCUUGACAUCCAGAGAACUUAGCAGAGAUGCUUUGGUGCCUUCGGGAACUCUGAGACAGGUGCUGCAUGGCUGUCGUCAGCUCGUGUUGUGAAAUGUUGGGUUAAGUCCCGCAACGAGCGCAACCCUUAUCCUUUGUUGCCAGCGGUCCGGCCGGGAACUCAAAGGAGACUGCCAGUGAUAAACUGGAGGAAGGUGGGGAUGACGUCAAGUCAUCAUGGCCCUUACGAGUAGGGCUACACACGUGCUACAAUGGCGCAUACAAAGAGAAGCGACCUCGCGAGAGCAAGCGGACCUCAUAAAGUGCGUCGUAGUCCGGAUUGGAGUCUGCAACUCGACUCCAUGAAGUCGGAAUCGCUAGUAAUCGUGGAUCAGAAUGCCACGGUGAAUACGUUCCCGGGUCUG
RNAcentral lists this ribosomal RNA (434 nucleotides) under bacterium BF-28. RNAcentral describes it as "bacterial SSU rRNA". It matches the Rfam family "Bacterial small subunit ribosomal RNA", at positions 947 to 1381 of the family's 1533-position model. The record is from RNAcentral.